Molecule: ribosomal RNA, 380 nt
Filed under: uncultured eukaryote
Lineage: Eukaryota
Description: partial 18S ribosomal RNA
Rfam family: Eukaryotic small subunit ribosomal RNA
Source: RNAcentral
CAAUAGCGUAUAUUAAAGUUGUUGCGGUUAAAAAGCUCGUAGUUGGAUUUCUGCUGAGAACGACCGGUCCGCCCUUUGGGUGUGUAUCUGGCUCUUUCUUGGCAUCUUCUUGGUGAACGUUGCUGCACUUGACUGUGUGGAGCGCUACCCAGGACUUUUACUUUGAGGAAAUUAGAGUGUUUCAAGCAGGCAUACGCCUUGAAUACAUUAGCAUGGAAUAAUAAGAUAGGACCUCGGUUCUAUUUUGUUGGUUUCUAGAGCUGAGGUAAUGAUUAAUAGGGAUAGUUGGGGGCAUUCGUAUUUAACUGUCAGAGGUGAAAUUCUUGGAUUUGUUAAAGAUGGACUACUGCGAAAGCAUUUGUCAAGGAUGUUUUCAUUGA